AAAAAAACGAUAAGAAAGAGAAAGAGGAGGAGGGAAGAAGCAAUUGUCCCCGCGGGAGCAGACGGUCUGUCUUCAUCGCCAACCAACCAACAAUCAUCAUCGUCGUCAGAUUCAUCACUCUUUUGAUUCAAAGUUUCAAUCUUUCUUCUUUCUUUUUUGUUUUUUGGUUUUCAGCCAUGGAGGUACCAACUACUUCAUGGGAUUCCCUUCGCAAACAGGUUGGAGAUGGCAAGAGUUCAAGCAGGAUGGAGAACGAAAGUGAAUGGCAAGUGAAGAGGAAAUCUUGUGUCUAAAUACUACCUCUUUUGACAUAAAAUAUUCAUAUACAUGGUAGGUUUGUAACCUAUAUUGUAGCUUUGUAGGUAUUAUAUGAGGAAGGCUUAUUUAGCAAGUGGAUGAAAAAAAGACAACCAUUGCAAGUGGAUGUUAAUUAAUUUGAAAAAUGCCCAAUGCGGGAAACCUACCAUAUCAUUUUACAUACAAAAACAAGAAUAUUAUAAUUUAUUUGUGUUUGAACAGUGGUAUUUUGAGAUGACUGUUGUUAAGAUUAUUGAUUUACUAGAGUUGCAAUGAAAAGCAUGCAAUUCUAGUUUUUUGACUCUCAAUAGACUUUUACAAUCUUCAAGCAUGCAAUUCAUGUAACAUUUUUUAAUAUAGUUUUCUUGGAUGCCGAGUCCCGGUGUAAUU
Molecule: long non-coding RNA, 687 nt
Filed under: Medicago truncatula (barrel medic)
Lineage: Eukaryota; Viridiplantae; Streptophyta; Magnoliopsida; Fabales; Fabaceae
Description: lncRNA gene20218
Source: RNAcentral